This 21-nucleotide unclassified non-coding RNA is filed under the name Mus musculus (house mouse). RNAcentral describes it as "oocyte_clustered_small_RNA9361". Lineage: Eukaryota; Metazoa; Chordata; Mammalia; Rodentia; Muridae. The record is from RNAcentral.
UGUCUCUCUCCAGAUGGACCA